RNAcentral lists this ribosomal RNA (280 nucleotides) under Ruminococcus bromii. RNAcentral describes it as "partial 16S ribosomal RNA". It matches the Rfam family "Bacterial small subunit ribosomal RNA", at positions 524 to 803 of the family's 1533-position model. The record is from RNAcentral. Lineage: Bacteria; Bacillati; Bacillota; Clostridia; Eubacteriales; Oscillospiraceae.
UACGUAGGGAGCAAGCGUUGUCCGGAUUUACUGGGUGUAAAGGGUGCGUAGGCGGCUUUGCAAGUCAGAUGUGAAAUCUAUGGGCUCAACCCAUAAACUGCAUUUGAAACUGUAGAGCUUGAGUGAAGUAGAGGCAGGCGGAAUUCCCCGUGUAGCGGUGAAAUGCGUAGAGAUGGGGAGGAACACCAGUGGCGAAGGCGGCCUGCUGGGCUUUAACUGACGCUGAGGCACGAAAGCGUGGGUAGCAAACAGGAUUAGAUACCCCAGUGGCUGACUGACU